Long non-coding RNA from Gavialis gangeticus (Gharial), 4841 nucleotides. RefSeq lists it as uncharacterized. The record is from RefSeq and is a predicted model, not a curated record. Lineage: Eukaryota; Metazoa; Chordata; Crocodylia; Gavialidae. The transcript is spliced from 2 exons.
AGUUGCCAUCAGUGCCAGUCAGUAUCUCUCCCCCACCCCCACCCACUUUCCUUCUCCUUCUAUUAUUAUUCAAAUUCUUUAUUCUUAAAAUGCCAAGAUUACAAUAUGUUUUCAAAUGUUAACCUUUUGUGUGCUGGUUUGUGAGAAACACCUUCCCCUUAGGAAUGGCGGCAUCUUUUCUGGAAUGCUUCUGAGCUGGAGGGCUUACUCCAGUGCUCCCAGAUUACGAUUUGCCAGCAUUUAUACUGCCAUCCUUGAAGCCAAUGUCUUGUCCUGCUGAACAGGUCUGAUCUCUCUUAGCACUAUCCCAUACCAGGACUUCAUAUCCAGUUCUAACCCUCUACAACCAUGUGAGACCCAUGUCCUGGCUGGAGCACUAGAACAGUCAAAGAACUUCCCCUUCACCUGUCUUUAGCAGCACUGAUGAUGCAUCUGCCAGAAUGAUCAGGCCCUUGCUUUAUGUGUACAGGCAACCCAAUUACUACCACCACUGCUCACACAAGAAACCGCUCUUCCUUUUGUCCCUAAUGAAAUGGUACAGAAAGGAGAAACAGCCAGGACUAGCUCCAAUCACACACUCCUCUUCCCUCAUUCGUGAGGGUGUUAACUGUUCUGUACAGCUGUUUUCUACACUGAGGCUACAACAUGGAGACAACCAUGAUACGUAGGACUGUUCCCAGCUAACAGACUUGGAGAACUCUUUUAUCCCAAGCACAGUAAACUAUUUCUCCUUUCUUCUCCUUCAGCUCCAGAUACCCUGCAAUACCUUUGAAUUGCCACCAUCCUACCACUAUCUUUCCAGACAAUGAGCUAUGAACCCCCUAUCCUAUUCAGUACUUAUCAAUAUCAAUUCCUAGUCACAUAGAGGGGACCAUAUACAUGAACAUUAAAAAGACGUCCUUUGCAUUUUCCCACUGAGAGUAGAGUGCUGCUUGCACAGAUUUCCAUUUCCUACCUUUAACUGGAAAAACAUAAUAGUACAGUGUCAGCGAGGAUUUUUCCGAAUUUUGCCUAAGGAUCAUGACGUCCACAGGCAACACUUCCCCCAUCACUACAUGACUUUAUCUAUGAUUAGAGUCCCUGGGCCUAAUUCAUCACGAGUGUAACAAAGUCAAUGAGACUGUGCUACGCAUAUUAUUUUGGCACAGAGUCCUUGGAUUUUUAACAUGUCUGUACCUGGAGUAUUAAAGGAUCACUAGCAGCAGAGCCCUCCAGGGUGACUGAUACCCUUAGCAUUGUACUGUAAAGACUGAUUUCUUCUUCCUAGGCAAUCUUGUGAUUUCCCAGCUCCUCAGCUUUCAUACAAAGUUCAGAAACUUCUUAAAAUGAAGCCAAAUCAAACAAGCCUCUAUAUUUCUAAGGAUCCAUACAAUACAAGCAAGCUACCAAGCUCUGAUCAUGACUAGGGAGUUUUUGCAUAGGUUUGCAUUAGUUGUAUUUGGGACCCACUGCACAUGGGGAAUUUCAUUCAGGGAGAGAGCUGUCUGGAAGCUGGUUACACUUCUAUUUUGAUUCCUACCUGUCCCUGGAAAUCUUUUCUUUCUUUAAUAAAGCUAAACACUUUACUAAAGAUAUUUGGGAUCCUUUAAUAGGCUACAGAUUGGUUUAGGUAGGAAACUGCCACAGCUCAUAGGAUAAAGUAUCCUGGCUGUGAGUGGGGUUUGCAAAGAUGCAAUGAGCCAUCAAUCUGCAUGUGUCCUGUCAUGGGAGCUAACCAGAACUGCAGCCCCUGUGCUCUCCUAAACAUGAUUGCAGCCUUUUUCUACAGCCUCCUUGGGUACAACAUGCUUUAACAGAAGCAGGAUUACGUGAAGACAGUCCCACAGCCCUAGCCCAUCCCUGACAGUAAACAUAGGUAACAGGCAUAUGGAUGGCAUGCCAGCAUAAAGCGGAAUAGCUUAUUCCUCUUCCUAUAAACUCUACAGGUACAAAUCAAUUUAAACCAGAACAACUGCAUCCACACUAGGAGGGUUGUACCACUUUAUCUUUACUAGUAGUUAAAGCACUACAGCAUUUAUGUGUAUAAAAGGCCUUAGACUCCUAAGCAGUUAAACCCCUUAUCAAAACAGGUCACUGAUAUGUUUUUGACAAUGUAACCAUAGCCUUUUAUCUGAGGUUUGACUGCUGCAGUUGGGAGGCAUGAGUACAGCCUUCAUAGGCAUAUGUGUGCUACUUUCAUCUAGCUCAUACAGAUAACAAUAGCAAUGUAGGCAUGGUAGCAUGAACAUCAAUAAGGGCUAUAAAAAGCCUACCAGGGAACCUGAGUAUGCAUAGUAUAUUCAUAAGGCUUGCUUAUCUGCACUGAAGCCUACACCACCCCAUCUGUCACCCUACAAACACUCAAAAGAUCCAAGAUCACCACUUUUAUUUAACUUGUUACUGGAAUAAAGAUCUGAUUCCAAGUCCAGAAGGACAAAGGAUGUGUGUUAUAACUCACUCUACCACCUAAUGCUUAGUCUAAUCAUCACAGAGCUAAAAUAAACCAGUGCAUCCUUAAGGAAUGCCUUUCAAAACAAAGGCAAGGAGUUCCUUUCAAUGCCCGACAUGCAGGAAGGAUAAGGAAAUCAAAGCCAAGAAUUUCCUCCCCAUAUAAUUCAAACAAUAUCAAAUGCUGGCAAAGCCACAAAAAUGUUGUGUGUUCAAUUGUGUGAAACAGCACUUUGUUUAGACUUUGCUCCUUCAGCACGCCAAAGGUUACAGCAACAAUAGUGUAUGCAAUGCAAUCCAGUGGUUAACUUACUGAAAGAAUCCCACUUCAGUGAGAGAGAGUUAAGAGAUGGAGAGAGAAAGAAGAUGCAUGGAAGUGAAAACAAGCAGAUGAGAGAGAAUUCCUCCCAGGAGAGCUCUAUCCCCAUGAGAAUGGCCACGGAAAAAAAAUCAGCUUUUAAGGGGCUGGACACUUUCUAAACCUCCCUGCUCACCCAUAACAUUUUGACCACAAGCCUUACCCCAGCUCUCAGAGGUAGGUUAGUGGUACUCUUUCUAUUAGACACAGAAAGGUAAAGUGACUUCCAUGCUGUUAGAGACAGUCAGUAGAUGAGCUGGGGGGAAAAUUUUUCAAAAUUUCAGUCUUCCACUCCCCUGCAACCUAAUAUAUAUGGAUAAAGAUCUGGGGUUGUUUAUUGGAACGGUUAAGUCAGCCCCUUAGAACAGUUGCUCUUUUCCUAACGUAUCCAUGGAGAAAGGGGAGAAGGAAAAGCACACGUCACCACUCUUAGGGCAAUUCCCGUCAUUUGACACUGAGAUGUUCACCUGGUACCCAGCAGUCCAGAACGAAAGGAGGUUAGCCUCGUACUUUUAGUCCCUGCAUAAGUGCUCAGUGCAUCGGGACUCUGCUCAGGCUUCUAGAAACAUUUAUUUUACAGCACACAAGCCUGCAGCUGAAUCACAUACAUUGACUAGUUCAAUACCGGGAAGCCCUGUCUCAUAGAUAUAUGGACUGCUUAUGUUUUAAUGGCCUGUUUUUCAAAGGUGCUAAGUAUCCCAUUGAACUCCCCCUGAACAUCACUUGAAGUCAUGGUGCUUUCUCUGAAGCCUCUGCACUGACAGCAAUAUCAAAGUGUUGUUUAAACUUAUAUCAUAUUUUUGGGGGGAAGUGGGGGGAGGUUCCUUGCCUUCCUACUUCAAGAAAGUAACAUCUUCACCUUUGAUUUGAUCUGGCUUUUACACACAGGGCAGUGUGUGUGUACUAAGACAGAAGACACUUUUAUUAAGUCACGGGUACUGUGUUCAGCGUUAAUCUACUCAGAAAUCUAAUUUUGACUAAAAAUGUCCAUUAGAAAAAUUUGGAUCAAUGAAAUUUUUUUUUAAUUACAAUUUUCCCAGUUCUACUUUGGGUGAACAAAAAAUAUGAGAAAACAUUUUAAAAUUUCUCAUACAGUCAAUUUUGAUAUUUUCAGGAUGAGGAGUUUCUAUGUUUUAUUUUGAAAUGACUUUUUUGGUUUCAAAAUGUAUUUGAUAGAAAAAGGACCAAGACCAAGUGGUUCAAAUAAACUAGAUUUAAAUGUUUUGUUCAGUCCAAACUGAAUGUUGUCAUUCAACUUUGAAAAACAUUCAAAACACUGAUUUUUUUUUAAUCCCAAAUUGAGAUUAAAAACUAACUCAACAUCGUUUGUGGGAUAGAAAAUCUAUUUUCUGUCCAGCUCAGAGCCAGGGUAAAAUAUGACUUCAUUAAUUAUCCAACUCCUCUGCUCAAGCCCCAGUUAAAAUUAAAGAAAAUCUCCACGUUAGCAGUAUUUUUGGACUGCAGACCUCAUUCUCAGACUGCCUGCUCCUUUGAAACAUGAUGCAAAAAGUUGCCAGAAGGGACUGGAGGAGGAGGGCAUAAUUUAUAGAAUUUUCCAUUAUUCUAAGUCUUGAGGAAGAACAUCAGAGCGUGUUGAUACAGAUGGUGAGGGAUCAAGAUGUUGCUAGAAUCUGGUAAGGCGUUUUCACUGCACCAGGAUCCCUUUGGGACUGGCUGCCACAAAUGAAAAGCGUGGUUAACUGCCCUAAUUAAAUGAUGCAUGGAAAUCUCGACAUUGUAUACAAACUGCUCUGUUUUGAGAACCCCAUCAUCAUUAGCUGAGCGCAGUGAUUUCAAACACCUGUCCCCAGCUCCUGCCUUGCGAGCUGACUCAAGGUGUGCUGUCACAAUGCUCAGUCCAGUCUAGCAGCGGGCAGUAGAGGGCCUUAAUUUAAAGGACACAUUUUUGAGAGGGUGUACACUCAGCACAAAGAUGCCCACUGCAACCACGUCUUGCAAUGCAUUUGGGUAAUGCACCACUCAUUUCCCUAGGCAUUUGUCCUUUGUGAGCAAAUGAGUACAUACUCAUAAGGACAGGACUGACCAUCAUUAUUUA